Molecule: non-coding RNA, 196 nt
Organism: Paramisgurnus dabryanus
Lineage: Eukaryota; Metazoa; Chordata; Actinopteri; Cypriniformes; Cobitidae
Source: RefSeq, a predicted model, not a curated record
GCAAAGCAGGGGAAAAUGCCAGCGGAGAAAGUGGAAGAGUGCCACAGAAAAGUUACCGCAUAUGUGGUGAAAAGACUGCAUCCCUUCUCUGACGUAGAAUCGCCAACGUUCAGAACGAAUUCAACAAAUUACAGUAACCAUUACUGUGUGUGGGAUAUGAUCCAUUCUAUCAACCCCAAGUACACCCCCCCUACCA